RNAcentral lists this ribosomal RNA (441 nucleotides) under uncultured bacterium. RNAcentral describes it as "partial 16S ribosomal RNA". It matches the Rfam family "Bacterial small subunit ribosomal RNA", at positions 339 to 795 of the family's 1533-position model. The record is from RNAcentral.
CUACGGGAUGCACCAGUGGGGAAUAUUGGGCAAUGGGCGCAAGCCUGACCCAGCAACGCCGCGUGAGGGAAGAAGGUUUUCGGAUUGUAAACCUCUGUCCUUGGGGACGAAGAAGUGACGGUACCCAAGGAGGAAGCUCCGGCUAACUACGUGCCAGCAGCCGCGGUAAUACGUAGGGAGCAAGCGUUGUCCGGAAUUACUGGGCGUAAAGGGUGCGUAGGCGGCAUAUUAAGUCAGGUGUGAAAUACUCGGGCUCAACCCGAGGGGUGCAUUUGAAACUGAUAAGCUUGAGUGUGAGAGAGGAAAGUGGAAUUCCUAGUGUAGCGGUGGAAUGCGUAGAUAUUAGGAGGAACACCAGUGGUGAAGGCGACUUUCUGGCUCAUAACUGACGCUGAGGCACGAAAGCGUGGGGAGCAAACAGGAUUAGAUACCCGAGUAGUC